GAUCCUGGCUCAGGAUGAACGCUAGCUACAGGCUUAACACAUGCAAGUCGAGGGGCAGCAUUUCAGUUUGCUUGCAAACUGGAGAUGGCGACCGGCGCACGGGUGAGUAACACGUAUCCAACCUGCCGAUAACUCGGGGAUAGCCUUUCGAAAGAAAGAUUAAUACCCGAUGGUAUAAUUAGACCGCAUGGUCUUGUUAUUAAAGAAUUUCGUAU
Molecule: ribosomal RNA, 215 nt
Filed under: uncultured bacterium
Lineage: Bacteria
Description: partial 16S ribosomal RNA
Rfam family: Bacterial small subunit ribosomal RNA
Source: RNAcentral